UUACAGCCUCUUUGGGCAAUGAGGAAUAUCGAAAGGUGGAAAAAGGUUGCCACGCUCACCCUUUCUCCUAGCGCUCACCCACUCCUGCAAGCACCCUAUUGCCUACUCCCAUUAGCCCACCAUUCUUCUUAAAACCAAGCAAUCCUAUUCUUCCGUGAAACACGUGUGCCCCUCCCUGCCAAGGCUGCAUCUCAUCCCCUGCCUGGAUUCUCCGGCAGCUGCUGGGUCUCGCCUGCUGGGGGAACGAUUGGGU
This is a non-coding RNA of Notechis scutatus (mainland tiger snake), 253 nucleotides long. The record is from RefSeq and is a predicted model, not a curated record. NCBI's taxonomy places the organism in Eukaryota, Metazoa, Chordata, Lepidosauria, Squamata, Elapidae.